RNAcentral lists this ribosomal RNA (501 nucleotides) under uncultured bacterium. RNAcentral's name for it is "partial 16S ribosomal RNA". It matches the Rfam family "Bacterial small subunit ribosomal RNA", at positions 30 to 523 of the family's 1533-position model. The record is from RNAcentral.
AUUGAACGCUGGCGGCAUGCCUUACACAUGCAAGUCGAACGGCAGCACGUGUGCUUGCACCUGGUGGCGAGUGGCGAACGGGUGAGUAAUAUAUCGGAACGUACCUUAUUGUGGGGGAUAACGCAGCGAAAGCUGUGCUAAUACCGCAUAAUCCCUAAGGGGGAAAGCGGGGGACCGUAAGGCCUCGCGCAAUUAGAGCGGCCGAUACCUGAUUAGCUAGUUGGUGAGGUAAAGGCUCACCAAGGCAACGAUCAGUAGCUGGUCUGAGAGGACGAUCAGCCACGCUGGGACUGAGACACGGCCCAGACUCCUACGGGAGGCAGCAGUGGGGAAUUUUGGACAAUGGGGGUAACCCUGAUCCAGCAAUGCCGCGUGAGUGAAGAAGGCCUUCGGGUUGUAAAGCUCUUUUGUCAGGGAAGAAACAGCAGCUCUAACACAGUUUGCGAAUGACGGUACCUGAAGAAUAAGCACCGGCUAACUACGUGCCAGCCGCCGCGGUAA